RNAcentral lists this ribosomal RNA (226 nucleotides) under uncultured bacterium. RNAcentral describes it as "partial 16S ribosomal RNA". It matches the Rfam family "Bacterial small subunit ribosomal RNA", at positions 569 to 793 of the family's 1533-position model. The record is from RNAcentral.
GCGUAGGCGGUUUUCUAAGUCAGGAGUGAAAGGCUAUGGCUCAACCAUAGUAAGCUCUUGAAACUAGUUAAACUUAGAGUGCAGGAGAGGAAAGUGGAAUUCCUAGUGUAGAGGUGAAAUUCGUAGAUAUUAGGAGGAACACCAGUGGCGAAGGCGACUUUCUGGACUGUAACUGACGCUGAGGCACGAAAGCGUGGGGAGCGAACAGGAUUAGAUACCCUGGUAG